RNAcentral lists this ribosomal RNA (253 nucleotides) under uncultured bacterium. RNAcentral describes it as "partial 16S ribosomal RNA". It matches the Rfam family "Bacterial small subunit ribosomal RNA", at positions 524 to 776 of the family's 1533-position model. The record is from RNAcentral.
UACGAACUGUGCGAACGUUAUUCGGAAUCACUGGGCUUACAGGGUGCGUAGGCGGCUUGUUAAGUAGGGUGUGAAAGCCCCCGGCUCAACCGGGGAAUUGCGCCCUAAACUGGCGAGCUGGAGUGAGAUAGGGGUGUGUGGAACUUCCGGUGGAGCGGUGAAAUGUGUUGAUAUCGGAAGGAACGCCGGUGGCGAGAGCGACACACUGGAUCUUGUCUGACGCUGAGGCACGAAAGCCAGGGGAGCGAACGGG